CCCUCUACAUCAGUCCUAGUAGGAGGGGUUGUGGGCCUGGUUGUUGCUGGUGUUCUACUGGCCAUUCUCCUGGUACUGCUGUGUCGAUAUAAAAAUGCCGGAGGUUCCUGUUGCAACAGAAUAUUCUGGCCCCCCCAGCCCCAGAGGACCAACCUGGACCCCCAACAGGACCAAGGAUCUACCCAGGGCCAGGCUCCUGAUGCUGGGUAUACACGUCUGCAGCAUGGUCAGUCUCUCAGCCCAGACCACUGUCACUCUCCUCUCUGUAACUUCACAUACUGACUUUUCACCAUUCACUUUAUAUAGAUGUUACCGUACUCUAUGUCCCUAGGCAAGCUGAGGGAAAACCAACCUAUUAAUCUAACUCUCUCUACUUUGACCAACAGGUGGCGCUAACAUCUAUGAUAAAAUCACGCCCUCAGACAGUAAUGACAAUGAUGCUGGUGCUGCUACUGCUGGACCAAGUGAGGUGAUGUACGCCAAGAUUCAACUCAAAAAGUUGGACAAGAAAAAGAAAAAAAUGACAGCUGAUCCAAAAGAAAAUCCAGUCUAUUCUGAAGUCAAGACAGGGAAGACCACAG
This is a long non-coding RNA of Salvelinus fontinalis (brook trout), 581 nucleotides long. RefSeq lists it as uncharacterized. Lineage: Eukaryota; Metazoa; Chordata; Actinopteri; Salmoniformes; Salmonidae. The record is from RefSeq and is a predicted model, not a curated record. The transcript has 5 exons.